RNAcentral lists this ribosomal RNA (467 nucleotides) under uncultured bacterium. Its description in RNAcentral is "partial 16S ribosomal RNA". It matches the Rfam family "Bacterial small subunit ribosomal RNA", at positions 28 to 507 of the family's 1533-position model. The record is from RNAcentral.
GACGAACGCUGGCGGCGUGCUUAACACAUGCAAGUCGAACGGAAAGGCUCCAGCUUGCUGGAGUGCUCGAGUGGCGAACGGGUGAGUAACACGUGGGCAAUCUGCCCUGCACUCUGGGAUAAGCCUGGGAAACUGGGUCUAAUACCGGAUAGGACCUUUCUCCUCAUGGGGUUUGGUGGAAAGUUUUUCGGUGCAGGAUGGGCCCGCGGCCUAUCAGCUUGUUGGUGGGGUAAUGGCCUACCAAGGCGACGACGGGUAGCCGGCCUGAGAGGGUGAUCGGCCACAUUGGGACUGAGAUACGGCCCAGACUCCUACGGGAGGCAGCAGUGGGGAAUAUUGCACAAUGGGCGAAAGCCUGAUGCAGCGACGCCGCGUGAGGGAUGACGGCCUUCGGGUUGUAAACCUCUUUCAGUAGGGACGAAGCGCAAGUGACGGUACCUGCAGAAGAAGCACCGGCUAACUACGUG